GACCAUUUUUACAUUUUUUGCACGGGCAUAAGAUCAUCCCAUCAUUUGAAUUUGAGAAGGCUAAGUUCAAAAAAUGUUGCAAUCCUAUUCGAUAUUCAUUGCUUGACCUUGGUAGAUCCAUCCAUGUUUUGUCCAUCUAAGUAUUUUUGGAAUGAACCAGAAGUAAUAAAAAAAUAGAAGUAAUACAAUAAUAAAUUAUAAAGUAAGUGAGUAAGAAAAAAUACCUUUAAACUUCAAAUCUUACGAAUAAUUCACCCAAGCAACCAAGAUCUCUCUAGAAAUUGAAAUCACCUUCGUUGAGUGACUCAAACCCCUGAUCAUCAUAUUUAAUUAGACGAAGUUAGUUUUAGAGAACAGUCGAAAUAAAAAUAUACAUGCAUUAUCAAAAAAUUAACACGAUUUGAGUACUCGAUUAGACCUCCCCAUACUAAAUCAUAUUAAUUUGAUUUCACUUUACAUAUAUCAAAUUCUUAUUAUACCUACUGUACAAGUUCACAAGAAUUACAUUGAAAAAGAGUUAAGAGUUAUAAGGAAAAACCAUAUCUGAAACAUGGAAAAAAACAUUUAUGUCUGAUUCCAACCAUACACACCAACAUCUAAGGUCAUACAAUUCAGUCAAAAUUAUUCUUUAGUAACUGAGCAUUACUAGAGUCCAGAAGACAACCGAUUCAGAACUCUUCCGAGAGUUCUUUUUUUUUUUUUUUUUUUAUGACGUUUUAAGAGAAAAAAAAAGAAACACUUAACAAAUUUGUAGAACUCGACAAUUCAACCGGUAUUUAUUUGAUCGACAUACAAUAUACUAUCAAGUUUAUAUUUUUAAAAGGAAUUCAUAUAUUACAUAUGUUUAACUAUAAUGAACACAUAAACGUUUCUCUCAACCAUGGCAAAACAUCUCUAGAAUAAUUUUAAGAAUAAAUCUAAACAAAAAUAUAACUAACUACUCACUGAAAUAUAUAUUGUUCCAAGAAAAAAAAAUCACUAGUUCAAACACUUCAACUCACCACAAAUAAAUUAAAAAAAUGGUUCAAGCAAUUAUUUAAAUCUUAACUAUGUUCUGAAAAACAGAAGAAAAACAAAAAAAAAAAAAAAAAAAAGCAACAGGGGAAGAAAAUAGAAAAAAAACAAAGGGGGCCAAGAAAGAACAAAAAUCAAAGUUAUAGAGAGAGAUCUACGAGAGAGGGGUAUUACCCAAGAUUAAUUCUUCCCCCAAAAUCAACCCCACCAAAAUCAAUCCCACCAAAAUCAUAGUUUUCUUAUGGGUUUGCCUAAGUGGAGCAACAUACGUAAUCAUAGGGUCAUUUAUAUGUCAAAUUUUAUACAGAAAACAAAAAUUAAAUAAAUGGAACUAACCUCACUUCAAUAACCAGAUGAUGAAAUGUUUUAACUUUUUGAGAAGGCAAAGCACGAUAUUUCAAUGAAAGAUAAAUAUCUGGCAAAGGAGAAAGACCACCAAAUUAGAAGAGGAACCGUCAAUUAGGGUAACAUGAAGAGAAAUUGUAAAUUGGGGGAAGGAGAAGGAAAAAUGGUUAGUAAAAAGGUUGAGAUAAUGGGUUGUGACUUAUGCCGCCAAAUAUUUCGAGGGUGAGGGAAAAUUU
This 1595-nucleotide long non-coding RNA is filed under the name Erythranthe guttata (spotted monkey flower). Its description in RNAcentral is "long non-coding RNA (EGUT_LNC002885)". The record is from RNAcentral. Lineage: Eukaryota; Viridiplantae; Streptophyta; Magnoliopsida; Lamiales; Phrymaceae.